This 67-nucleotide transfer RNA is filed under the name Saphonecrus sp. ZJUH 20220015. RNAcentral describes it as "tRNA-Phe". The record is from RNAcentral. Lineage: Eukaryota; Metazoa; Arthropoda; Insecta; Hymenoptera; Cynipidae.
UUUUAAAUAGUUUAUAAAAAACAUAAUAUUGAAAAUAUUAAAAAGAUUUUUUUUUCAUCUUUAAAUA